UGAGCUACCUCAGUUGGUAGAGCAUGAGACUCUUAAUCUCAGAGUCAUAGGUUUGACCUCCACAUUGGGCAAAA
Molecule: non-coding RNA, 74 nt
Organism: Podarcis lilfordi (Lilford's wall lizard)
Lineage: Eukaryota; Metazoa; Chordata; Lepidosauria; Squamata; Lacertidae
Source: the annotation of a GenBank genome assembly